Molecule: ribosomal RNA, 407 nt
Filed under: uncultured bacterium
Lineage: Bacteria
Description: partial 16S ribosomal RNA
Rfam family: Bacterial small subunit ribosomal RNA
Source: RNAcentral
UGGGGAAUAUUGCACAAUGGGCGAAAGCCUGAUGCAGCGACGCCGCGUGAGGGAUGAAGGCCUUCGGGUUGUAAACCUCUUUCAGCAGGGAAGAAGCGCAAGUGACGGUACCUGCAGAAGAAGCGCCGGCUAACUACGUGCCAGCAGCCGCGGUAAUACGUAGGGCGCAAGCGUUGUCCGGAAUUAUUGGGCAUAAAGAGCUCGUAGGCGGUUUGUCGCGUCUGGUGUGAAAACUCGAGGCUCAACCUCGAGCUUGCAUCGGGUACGGGCAGACUAGAGUGCGGUAGGGGAGACUGGAAUUCCUGGUGUAGCGGUGGAAUGCGCAGAUAUCAGGAGGAACACCGAUGGCGAAGGCAGGUCUCUGGGCCGCAACUGACGCUGAGGAGCGAAAGCAUGGGGAGCGAACA